UACGUAGGGGGCAAGCGUUGUCCGGAUUUAUUGGGCGUAAAGAGCGUGUAGGCGGCUAGGUAGGUCCGUUGUGAAAACUCGAGGCUCAACCUCGAGCUGUCGAUGGAAACCAUCUGGCUAGAGUCCGGAAGAGGAGAGUGGAAUUCCUGGUGUAGCGGUGAAAUGCGCAGAUAUCAGGAAGAACACCCGUGGCGAAGGCGGCUCUCUGGUACGUGACUGACGCUGAGACGCGAAAGCGUGGGGAGCGAACAGG
This 253-nucleotide ribosomal RNA is filed under the name uncultured bacterium. RNAcentral's name for it is "partial 16S ribosomal RNA". It matches the Rfam family "Bacterial small subunit ribosomal RNA", at positions 524 to 776 of the family's 1533-position model. The record is from RNAcentral.